AGAGUUCCUUCCUAGCUGCCUGUGAAUCAACAUGUAGAACUCUCAGCUCCUUCUCCAGCAUCAUGUCUGCCUGGAUGCUGCCUUGCUUACUGCCAUAAUAAUGGAUUGAACCUCUAAAAAUCUUGUCUGAAGAUCUGAGAAGAUGAACCACCAUUUUAAGAUGACGCUCAGAGCAGAUAAGCAAGAGGAAGACACCAAAUACGUUCUUUAAGGGCCCAGAUGAUGUUGAUGUUCAGGGUUUCCAAUCUGAAAACAGCAGCUGAGGCCAUGAUGCACUUGGGGCAAAAAGCAAAGACAGAAAAACCUGAAUGACAGUUCAGGAGCUUCCUGAGCAGUGCAAAGCCAUCUAUCUGACUCCUACAACUGUCGUAAUAAGAACUGCCAUCACAGGAGGUGACUUUGCUGAUGAAAAUUGGGAAUGUAUUAACAGUAGUCACACUUAACAGCUACAUCUGUGGGGUUUGCCAGAUGUAAUACAUUUUGAAUAAAGUUGAUCACCAUUGCUUCUUAUUGAUAGGUUGAGCUACCAAAUAAGGAAGCUGAUUUUAAUAUGCAUCCCCAUUGAACUUAAACUGACCACCAAGCUUAUAAUCUCCAGCUGUAGAGACGAGGACACAAAGGGUUAAGUAACCUCCCCAAGUCAUACAAGCAGCCAUGUUGCUGUGACAGAAAGCAUUAUGCAUUCAGGGUCUUGGAGGAGGAAACGUCGCUUCUCAAACAUUCAGCC
RNAcentral lists this long non-coding RNA (727 nucleotides) under Mus pahari (shrew mouse). RNAcentral's name for it is "lncRNA (MGP_PahariEiJ_G0004561.1)". The record is from RNAcentral. Lineage: Eukaryota; Metazoa; Chordata; Mammalia; Rodentia; Muridae.